UGGAGGGGUUUUUUAUGGCAGUGCUCGGGAAUGGAGCACAGGGCCUUGUGUGCACCAAGUAGUCUACCACUGAGCUACUACAGCAGCCCAUAAGAGCAUUUUUAAGAGGAUCCACCCAGAUGCCUUUCAUUUUGAGGUUUGUUUCUCUUCUUCAGCUCAUGAAUUUAAAUGAAUUAAUAAUGGUUAAUAUGAACAGUAGCAACUUUUCAUUCUUUUGUGAACUAAGACAUCAUUCUAUUCUUUCUGGUAAUAAAAUUUUUCUUCAGUAAGCAUAAGUGUAUCUCAGGAGAAGCUGGAAUUCACAGGUGGGGAGUCCAACUAAUGCAGCCAAACAGACUGUUGAAUUCUAGCACACUGAAGGAGGAAUUUUCUCCCGGUUGGUUAUACAACAUUUGUAUCAAAAGAAUAUGGCUGGCUAUUUUGUCAGUCUUUUUUUUUCAAAUGGGCACUAUCGUGUAACUUAUCACAGUUAGUGAUAUGUGAAUUCUCAAAGUCUUCUCAAAAUUAAAAUUUAUUUCCAAAUUAUUUCCCCAAACAAAAAGUUGUUUCAAAAGGAAGAUUGUUGACAUUCUAUUUUUAAUUGCUCUCACACUCCAUUAGAAGGGGUGGUACAGCUGAAAAUAAGGUUGCCUCCAGGCAGAAUGGUGGCAAGGGCUUUAUCUUUAGCUGUGGGAGACCCCUGUCUCCUCCUUUUUUAGCUCUGACAUUUAAUUACCUCUUGUUAUUCGAUGGCUGCGCAAUGUGACCUUUCUAUCCCUUAUCUUCUAAAAUGUACUUUUCUUCUGAGCUUUAAUAUUUCAAAUUCUUUCUUUUUGUCUCCAUGUGGCUUUGAGCCUGAAUCUAACCAGACCAUCGAAUGGAAAUGUGAAGAGUCCACAGCCAGUUUAAUAGUUUAAUCUUCCAGUGUGGGGCUCUAAGGAUGUACAGACAUAAAGAUGUACGUAUCCUGAUCAUUUCAGCCUCUCAUGCCAGGCGAUUGGUCGGUAUUUCUCUGCGACCGUUUCUCAGGAAGCUCUCUGCAUGUCCCUCUUCAUCUCAGAAGCCAAUUCCAUGGAACCCGAUCUAAAACAGAUGGAGAUGACAUUCAUGUCGUUUAUAAACACUUAGCCAGAGUAAUCUGGAGGAUGUUUUCAGUAAUAAAUUCAGAGUCACACUUUGAACACGAAAACAAGUAUCUUUUCUUUAUUCCCUCGCCUAUUCUAAACAGAUUCUUCAGUAAUUUGAACAAGAUCUAGUCUGUAUUAUGUUAAAGAGAGUUUUAAAAAUAAACUCCACAUUAAUAAUUUGAAAGUCUAUUUUCUCAGUUUUGUAAUUUUUCCUUACUGAUACUGAUUGAUGAUACAACAUAAUUUCAAAUAUAAAAGAAUAUUCCAUUACUGUUGCUUCUUUAAUUAUCCUCACCCACAACUCCCAUCACCAUGAGAGCAGAGCUAUUGACUUACGAUUAUUUAUCUUACAGAAUAAGACUGAAUAUAUACUUGAUACAUAAUUGUUUGCUUUAACUGAUGAAUCACUGGCUCAAUUUACAUAAAAAAUCAAUUCCUUUGCACAUUUUUUCUUAAACUCAAACUUUAAAACUUUUUGACACAAAUUCACAUUAAUUCAACUUCUCCAAAAUGCGUAGCUUUAAUCCAUACAUUCUUGAAAAAACCCUUCACACAAAAACAAAAAAUAUCAUUAUCAAAUGCAUAUCUGUGGCUUAAAUUACAACUCAUACUUGUAGUAAAUUCUUUGUGGUAACAUCAUAUAUGCCAUAAAGUAACACAGGGCUGUGAUGAUAAUUAUGUGCUAUAAACGUGCUUUUGCAUGGGAACUCUGACCUGAUAUGUGAGGCUCACACCCUCUCUACUAUUGGCAUAGCAUCUACAAUUCCUGUUUGGUCGGGCUGAACCUCUUAUAAUGUCUUAAUUCACUUUUUAAAGUUUUUGUGGUGAAAGGAAGUCUUACUUUUAAAUUCUGAAUAUAUCCUACUUAAAUUGAAACAAAAGACAUUCUUUUACAAUUACUAACAUCUUUUAGAUAUUAAAACAGCAAGAUGUUUGACAUUCUGUUUUCAAGAGACUAUAAAUGAAAGUGUUACUGAAAAUAUAGAUAGCUUUACUUGUUUACAGAAACAUUUUUAUGCCUUUCUUUCUCUCUCACACAUACACAUACAAACACACUCACGGACUAUACUAUCUUAUAGUAUACAAUAGUUUACAAAUUUCUGGGGUUCAAAAUUUGAUAUUUUCAUAAUUAUUUGAAGUAUUUAUUAAACAAAUUUUAAUGUUGCAAAGAUUCUGGUUCAGAAAGAUGGUGUUAGGCUUGGGUUCAAUGAUUUUUCCCAAAACCUCUGAUUUUUGUCAGAAGGUAAUGGCCCUGUAAAGAAUUUGAUAUGAGUAUGUCUAUAUAAUUAUUUUUAUAACAGUGAAUAUACCAGCAGUGCCUAAUUUUAUGGUCCAACACAUUGCAGUAUGGGCUUCUUUCAUACUGAGAUCAUAGAGAUCAUAUAAUACAUCCUGAUAUUCUUUCUAUAUUGGGGCUUAAAGAAUGUUUUCCUUCUAGGAGUUUUUUAGAAAAAAAUAAAGUUUAGUUGUCAUUCUUCACUACUGAGCUGGAUAAUUUAAACAAAUUCCUUUUUUACUUGGUAAUUUCCUUAUUGGAUGAGUAACUGAUGACCUGGGGCCCUUACUGAGGGUAGGCACUUAGGACAGGAAAGAGAGAGAACAUCCUUUCAAAACAGCAGCAGAAAUAAAACUAUAGCAAUGCUGUAAGAACAAACUCAUAGGGAGGCGGAGCUGUAGAGUUGGC
Molecule: long non-coding RNA, 2790 nt
Organism: Heterocephalus glaber (naked mole-rat)
Lineage: Eukaryota; Metazoa; Chordata; Mammalia; Rodentia; Bathyergidae
Source: Ensembl